Non-coding RNA from Caenorhabditis elegans, 21 nucleotides. Lineage: Eukaryota; Metazoa; Nematoda; Chromadorea; Rhabditida; Rhabditidae. The record is from Ensembl.
UUGGUUGAGAUCUCACGCGGA